UAAUACAGAGGGUGCAAGCGUUAAUCGGAAUUACUGGGCGUAAAGGGUGCGUAGGUGGUUAUGUAAGUUAGAUGUGAAAUACCCGGGCUUAACCUGGGGGCUGCGUCUGAUACUGCAUGGCUAGAGUCCUGUAGAGGAAAGUGGAAUUUCCGGUGUAGCAGUGAAAUGCGUAGAUAUCGGAAGGAACAUCAGUGGCGAAGGCGACUUUCUGGACAGAGACUGACACUGAGGCACGAAAGCGUGGGGAGCAAACAGG
RNAcentral lists this ribosomal RNA (256 nucleotides) under uncultured bacterium. RNAcentral's name for it is "partial 16S ribosomal RNA". It matches the Rfam family "Bacterial small subunit ribosomal RNA", at positions 521 to 776 of the family's 1533-position model. The record is from RNAcentral.